GGGAGCAUCCUGGCGGCGAGUGGCGAACGGGUGAGAGUACAUCGGAACGUGCCCAUCGUGGGGGAUAACGCCUUGAAAGCUGUGCUAAUACCGCAUACAAUCUACGGAUGAAAGCAGGGGAUCGCAAGACCUUGCGCGAAUGGAGCGGCCGAUGGCAGAUUAGGUAGUUGGUGAGGUAAAGGCUCACCGAGCCUUCUAUCUGUAGCUGGUCUGAGAGGACGACCAGCCACACUGGGACUGAGACACGGCCCAGACUCCUACGGGAGGCACCAAUGGGGAAUUUUGGACAAUGGGCGAAAGCCUGAUCCAACCAUGCCACGUGCAAGAUGAACGCCUUCGGGUUGUGAACUGCUUUUGUACAGAACGAAACGGCCUUUUCUAAUAAAGAGGGCUAAUGACGGUACCGUAAGAAUAAGCACCGGCUAACUACGUGCCAUCAGCCGCGGUAAUACCUAGGGUGCAAGCGUUGUUCCAAAUUACUGGGCGUAAAGCGUGCGCAAGCGGUAAUGCAAGACAUUUGUGAAUCCCCGGGCUCAGCCUGGGAACUGCAUCUGUGACUGCAUUGCUGGAUUACGGUAGAGGGGGAUGGAAAUCCACGUGUAACUCUGAAUGGCGUAGAUAUGCGCACGAACACCGAUGGCAAACGCAAUUC
RNAcentral lists this ribosomal RNA (652 nucleotides) under bacterium. Its description in RNAcentral is "bacterial SSU rRNA". It matches the Rfam family "Bacterial small subunit ribosomal RNA", at positions 76 to 727 of the family's 1533-position model. The record is from RNAcentral.